Molecule: ribosomal RNA, 399 nt
Filed under: uncultured Ruminococcus sp.
Lineage: Bacteria; Bacillati; Bacillota; Clostridia; Eubacteriales; Oscillospiraceae
Description: bacterial SSU rRNA
Rfam family: Bacterial small subunit ribosomal RNA
Source: RNAcentral
GGAAUAUUGCACAAUGGGGGAAACCCUGAUGCAGCGAUGCCGCGUGGAGGAAGAAGGUUUUCGGAUUGUAAACUCCUGUCUUAAAGGACGAUAAUGACGGUACUUUAGGAGGAAGCUCCGGCUAACUACGUGCCAGCAGCCGCGGUAAUACGUAGGGAGCGAGCGUUGUCCGGAAUUACUGGGUGUAAAGGGAGCGUAGGCGGGACUGCAAGUCAGAUGUGAAAUGCCGGGGCUUAACCCCGGAGCUGCAUUUGAAACUGUGGUUCUUGAGUGAAGUAGAGGCAAGCGGAAUUCCUGGUGUAGCGGUGAAAUGCGUAGAUAUCAGGAGGAACACCGGUGGCGAAGGCGGCUUGCUGGGCUUUUACUGACGCUGAGGCUCGAAAGCGUGGGUAGCAAACA